Molecule: ribosomal RNA, 508 nt
Filed under: uncultured bacterium
Lineage: Bacteria
Description: partial 16S ribosomal RNA
Rfam family: Bacterial small subunit ribosomal RNA
Source: RNAcentral
GAUGAACGCUAGCUACAGGCUUAACACAUGCAAGUCGAGGGGAAACGAUAUUGGAAGCUUGCUUCCGAUAGGCGUCGACCGGCGCACGGGUGAGUAACGCGUAUCCAAGCUGCCCAUCACUUGGGGAUAACCUUGCGAAAGUAAGACUAAUACCCAAUGACGUCCCUAGAAGACAUCUGACAGAGAUUAAAGAUUUAUCGGUGAUGGUUGGGGAUGCGUCUGAUUAGGUUGGUGGCGGGGUACCGGCCCACCAAGGCGACGAUCAGGAGGGGUUCUGAGAGGAAGGUCCACCAGAUUGGAACUGAGGCACGGUCCAAACUCCUACGGGAGGCAGCAGUAAGGAAUAUUGGUCAAUGGGCGAGAGCCUGAACCAGCCAAGUAGCGUGCAGGAAGACGGGCCUAUGGAUUGUAAACUGCUUUUAUAAGGGGAUAAAGUGGGAGUCGUGACUCCUUUUGCAUGUACCUUAUGAAUAAGGACCGGCUAAUUCCGUGCCAGCCGCCGCGGUAA